CACGAGCGGCGAACGGGUGAGUAACACGUGGGUGAUCUGUGCUUGCACUCUGGGAUAAGCCUGGGAAACUGGGUCUCAUACCGGAUAUGACCACUGAUCGCAUGGUUGGUGGUGGAAAGAUUUAUCGGUGUGAGAUGGGCCCGCGGCCUAUCAGCUUGUUGGUGGGGUAAUGGCCUACCAAGGCGACGACGGGUAGCCGGCCUGAGAGGGCGACCGGCCACACUGGGACUGAGACACGGCCCAGACUCCUACGGGAGGCAGCAGUGGGGAAUAUUGCACAAUGGGCGAAAGCCUGAUGCAGCGACGCCGCGUGAGGGAUGACGGCCUUCGGGUUGUAAACCUCUUUCGACAGGGACGAAGCGAGAGUGACGGUACCUGUAGAAGAAGCACCGGCCAACUACGUGCCAGCAGCCGCGGUAAUACGUAGGGUGCGAGCGUUGUCCGGAAUUACUGGGCGUAAAGAGCUUGUAGGCGGUUCGUCGCGUCGAUCGUGAAAACUUGCAGCUCAACUGUGAGCUUGCGGUCGAUACGGGCGGACUAGAGUACUGCAGGGGAGACUGGAAUUCCUGGUGUAGCGGUGAAAUGCGCAGAUAUCAGGAGGAACACCGGUGGCGAAGGCGGGUCUCUGGGCAGUAACUGACGCUGAGAAGCGAAAGCGUGGGUAGCGAACAGGAUUAGAUACCCUGGUAGUCCACGCCGUAAACGGUGGGCGCUAGGUGUGGGUUUCCUUCCACGGGAUCCGUGCCGUAGCUAACGCAUUAAGCGCCCCGCCUGGGGAGUACGGCCCCAAGGCUAAAACUCAAAGGAAUUGACCGGGGCCCGCACAAACGGCGGAGCAUGUGGAUUAAUUCGAUGCACCUUGUGGAGGGAGCCGUUGAAGGUGGGAU
RNAcentral lists this ribosomal RNA (887 nucleotides) under Nocardia vulneris. RNAcentral's name for it is "bacterial SSU rRNA". It matches the Rfam family "Bacterial small subunit ribosomal RNA", at positions 90 to 993 of the family's 1533-position model. The record is from RNAcentral. Lineage: Bacteria; Bacillati; Actinomycetota; Actinomycetes; Mycobacteriales; Nocardiaceae.